AAAGAUGGUUUUCUUCGGACACUCUUCAAGGUGCUGCAUGGUUGUCGUCAGCUCGUGCCGUGAGGUGUCGGGUUAAGUCCCAUAACGAGCGCAACCCUUACCGUUAGUUACCAUCAGGUUAAGCUGGGGACUCUAGCGGGACUGCCACCGUAAGGUGAGAGGAAGGUGGGGAUGACGUCAAAUCAGCACGGCCCUUAUGUCCAGGGCUACACACGUGUUACAAUGGCCGGUACAAAGGGCAGCUACUUCGCGAGAAGAUGCUAAUCUCGAAAGCCGGUCUCAGUUCGGAUCGAAGUCUGCAACCCGACUUCGUGAAGCUGGAUUCGCUAGUAAUCGCGCAUCAGCCAUGGCGCGGUGAAUACGUUCCCGGGCCUU
RNAcentral lists this ribosomal RNA (375 nucleotides) under uncultured Sphingobacteriales bacterium. Its description in RNAcentral is "bacterial SSU rRNA". It matches the Rfam family "Bacterial small subunit ribosomal RNA", at positions 1004 to 1382 of the family's 1533-position model. The record is from RNAcentral. Lineage: Bacteria; Pseudomonadati; Bacteroidota; Sphingobacteriia; Sphingobacteriales.